This is a long non-coding RNA of Podarcis raffonei (Aeolian wall lizard), 1578 nucleotides long. RefSeq lists it as uncharacterized. The record is from RefSeq and is a predicted model, not a curated record. Lineage: Eukaryota; Metazoa; Chordata; Lepidosauria; Squamata; Lacertidae. The transcript has 2 exons.
CGGAUUUGGUAUGCUUGCCUCUAAAUGCAAACUGAAUUGAAUUUCUUCCCCAACCAUAAUUAAGAAAUGUACACAGCAUCCUCCAGCCAUAGGCAUUUCGAAUGGCUUACAAAAGCAAAGCAAGAGCAGCAAGAUAGAAGCAUACUAAUGACAAUAAUAUUGCUUUUUAAAUAAAAAAAGUCAGAAAACAAUAAAAUCAGUGGAUGAAAAUCUACUGAAUUCCAUGCUGAAAGUUCUGGGUAAAUACUCUGCUUUAACUGAUGUAAAAUUGCUCCCUGUCCCUCAUUCUCUAUUAACAGAUUGGAAUUCCCAUUUUGUCAGUAAACAUGUACUGUUUUAUGGGUGGAUAUAAUUCAUUAUUUUUAGCACUGCUUUUUAGCUGCCGGACAAAACAAGUGAGGGGUGGCAAUCCAUUUUUGUUGGUCUUUUUAAUGCUCCCUGGUUUCCCCAGCUCACACUCCUGCAUGUAACAACCACCUUUUUAUUUAAAGUGCAAGAGGCAUUUAAGAGUGGUUGUAGCUGCAGCCAGUUACAUAACGGCUGUUUGCAGCAUCUUCAAAACACCCUCGGGCACCCUUCCACAAACACAUGAUGGAUGGAAAGCCCUCCAUAUUUCAUUCAAAAAUGCCAAGUUAUAAAUUCACGCGGGAUGGAGCGUGUUCUGUUGGACAGACAGAAUGUUCUGGAUCGCGGUUUUCUAUUUGUACUAUUUGGCCAGCGUGUUAUGCUUUUUGCAAAGCAGAUGUACUGGAACGUGAAAUACUGGCGGCCGCCCUCCCCUUUAACUUCAGCUAACGAGAGUGCUUUAAACAGGGGAAUAACCCACUUGAAUUUACACUUAGAAGCCUUAAAUGUCAUUUUAUUUCACUUAACUACACAUUCAGCACAGAUGAGUGUUCAUUUAGCGUUCCAGUGUCACCAUAUCAAAAGUUUAUGUUUACCAGCUUCGGAUUGUCAAAAUACUAGUCCCUGGCAUAGCAUUAGAGAACGGGGUGUUCGUACAGCAAGACAUCCUCUGCUUCUGUUUUCCCUCCUGUAAAAUGGGAAUAGCUGAAAUUUACUUCAAAGGCUUAUUGUAAGGAAUGAAAAUAAAAAGGGUAACACCCUUUGCAAAUUAAUCAUGAUAUAUGAAUGACAUGCCCUAGUAAUUAGGACUGUCUCACUUGUGCUUCUUCUGCAAGUUUAUCCUCUGCGCUCAUCAUGCUGUUGGAGACACAGCACUGAAUUUCUCUGGUCAGGGAAGAAGGGGUGAGUGAAGAUCUUCAUCAGGAAUAAGGGUAUUCAGAAAUUGUUCCUAUAUGCAACAACAGCGGCAAGGUUAUUAUUGGCCCAGGUUUGGAAACAGCAACAAUUGCCAACAGUAGAAGAGUGGCAGCAGAAGACAUUUUAUGGACAAAUGUGGAAGAAGAACAACAAUAUACAAAAUGGAGAAAGACAAUGCGAAAAAUUGAGAGACGAUAUAAAAAAGCCAGAAGACGGAAGGAGGGAAGUCAGCUCCUAGGAGCAAGUAUAAAUGUAAAAUGUAAUGUAAUAUAUGUAUGUAUAGUAUGUAAUUAAAAAACCAAUAAAGAUUAUCCU